CCAAUAGCGUAUAUUAAAGUUGUUGCAGUUAAAAAGCUCGUAGUUGAAUUUCGGGAUCAAUAUUUCGGUCAUGCCGUUGGUAUGCACUGUUAUCAUUGAUUUCUCACCUUCUAAAGAACCGUAAUGCCAUUAAUUUGGUGUUACGGGGAAUUAGGACUGUUACCUUGAAAAAAUUAGAGUGUUUAAAGCAGGCUCACGCUUGAAUACAUUAGCAUGGAAUAAUGAAAUAGGACAUCCGAUUCUAUUUUGUUGGUUUCUAGGAUCGAUGUAAUGAUUAAUAGGGAUAGUUGGGGGCAUUAGUAUUCAAUUGUCAGAGGUGAAAUUCUUGGAUUUAUUGAAGACUAACUACUGCGAAAGCAUUUGCCAAGGAUGUUUUCAUUAAUCAAGAACGAAAGUUAGGGGAUCGAAGACGAUCAGAUACCGUCGUAGUCUUAACCAUAAACUAUGCCGACUAGGGAUCGGAUGAUGUUAAUUUUUUAAUGACUCAUUCGGCGCCUUACG
This 501-nucleotide non-coding RNA is filed under the name uncultured Glomus. Its description in RNAcentral is "SSU rRNA". It matches the Rfam family "Eukaryotic small subunit ribosomal RNA", at positions 591 to 1092 of the family's 1831-position model. Lineage: Eukaryota; Fungi; Glomeromycota; Glomeromycetes; Glomerales; Glomeraceae. RNAcentral also lists the same sequence under 1 other name. The record is from RNAcentral.